UUAUUUUUUCUUUUCUACUGAUUCAUUUCUAGCCGCUUCUUUUCUUCUUAUCACUCUCACUCACAGCAGCAGCGAUUCAUCAUCCACCCACACCACCUCCUUCAUGAUUUUAAUUACACCACCAAGUUACCAACGAACACAACCACAAGCAACUGAACCAUGGAAGAACCAAGUCAAGACACACCUACACACAAACUGAAUUUGGAUCAUCUAAUGUAACUAGUCAAUCUACACCUGGAGUUGGAGCUCAAUCUACACCUCCUAAUGAAGUUACAAUUAUAGAAGAUAAUAAAAACAAAGAGAAGCCUAAAGUUACAUCCGAUGUAUGGAAUCAAUUCACAAGGGUAAGUGCAGAGAGAGCAAAAUAUCAUCAUUGUUUGCGCACCUUUGCUACUAACUCAGGCAUAAAUGGCACUUUUGGCUUGUGGGCUCAUUUGGAUAGAUGCCGUAAAAAUCCAAACACGAAGAAGAAAGGACAGAAAAGUUUGAUGUUUUCUCCCCCCAAACCAGGUCAACAUAGUCAGUUGGUUGCUUCUAUUUAUAAUCCUGAAAAGUGUAUAAGGGUGUGUUACGGUGGUUUUUAGCUUAGUUUUAAAAUCUUAAAACCUUGCAUCAGAUGUGA
Papaver somniferum (opium poppy) is the source of this 622-nucleotide long non-coding RNA. RefSeq lists it as uncharacterized. Lineage: Eukaryota; Viridiplantae; Streptophyta; Magnoliopsida; Ranunculales; Papaveraceae. The transcript has 2 exons. The record is from RefSeq and is a predicted model, not a curated record.